CUACGGGCGGCAGCAGGCGCGAAACCUUUACAAUGCACGAAAGUGUGAUAAGGGAACCCUAAGUGCUUAUCUUUUGAUAGGCUUUUAUUAAGAGUAAAUAUCUUAGUGAAUAAAUGGUGGGUAAGUCUGGUGCCAGCCGCCGCGGUAACACCAGCGCCAUUAGUGGGAACCGUAUAUUUGGCCUAAAGCGUCCGUAGCCUGUUUAACAAAUCUUUUGUAAAGUUGUUGGACUUAACCUAACAGCGCGCAAAAGACACUGUUAAACUUGGAACUUGGAGGAGUUAGAAGUAUUUUUGGGGUAGUGGUAAAAUAUUAUAAUCCUAAAAAGACUACCGGUGGCGAAAGCGUCUAACUAGAACAGAUUCGACGGUGAGGGACUAAAGCCAGGGGAGCGAUCCGGAUUAGAUACCCCGGUAGUC
RNAcentral lists this ribosomal RNA (419 nucleotides) under uncultured archaeon. RNAcentral describes it as "partial 16S ribosomal RNA". It matches the Rfam family "Archaeal small subunit ribosomal RNA", at positions 323 to 746 of the family's 1478-position model. The record is from RNAcentral.